Molecule: non-coding RNA, 152 nt
Filed under: Chamaesiphon minutus PCC 6605
Lineage: Bacteria; Bacillati; Cyanobacteriota; Cyanophyceae; Gomontiellales; Chamaesiphonaceae
Also listed under: 1 other name
Source: RNAcentral
AUAAUAAAACUUCGAUCUGGUUUGAGUGGGGAGCAGCCACUCAAAGUAAUGGGGAAAGCCUGGUGAGAAUCCAGCACUGUCCCGCAACUGUAAUCGCAUCUCCAUCUGGAGAUCGACAAAGUCAGAACGCCCGCCAGAAGCUACAUUUAGUU